Molecule: ribosomal RNA, 305 nt
Filed under: uncultured bacterium
Lineage: Bacteria
Description: bacterial SSU rRNA
Rfam family: Bacterial small subunit ribosomal RNA
Source: RNAcentral
CUGGCCUACGGGGGGCAGCAGUGGGGAAUAUUGCACAAUGGGGGAAACCCUGAUGCAGCGACGCCGCGUGGGUGAAGAAGUACUUCGGUACGUAAAGCCCUAUCAGCAGGGAAGAAAAUGACGGUACCUGAUUAAGAAGCCCCGGCUAACUACGUGCCAGCAGCCGCGGUAAUACGUAGGGGGCAAGCGUUAUCCGGAUUUAUUGGGUGUAAAGGGCGUGUAGGCGGGAAUGCAAGUCAGAUGUGAAAACUAUGGGCUCAACCCAUAGCCUGCAUUUGAAACUGUAUUUCUUGAGUGCUGGAGAG